GACGAACGCUGGCGGCGUGCCUCAUACAUGCAAGUCGAGCGGAUGUAGCAAUACAUCAGCGGCGGACGGGUGAGUAACACGUGGGCAACCUGGCCUUAAGAGGGGGAUAACGUCCCGAAAGGGACGCUAAUACCGCGUAAAUCAACGAGAUCGCAUGAUUUUGUUGGAAAAGGAGCAAUCCGCUUAAGGAUGGGCCCGCGGCCUAUUAGCUAGUUGGUAGGGUAACGGCCUACCAAGGCGACGAUAGGUAGCCGACCUGAGAGGGUGAACGGCCACACUGGAACUGAGAAACGGUCCAGACUCCUACGGGAGGCAGCAGUAGGGAAUAUUCCGCAAUGGGCGAAAGCCUGACGGAGCAACGCCGCGUGAGUGAAGAAGGUUUUCGGAUCGUAAAGCUCUGUCAACAGGGACGAAACAAGACGGUACCUGAGAAGGAAGCCACGGCAAACUACGUG
RNAcentral lists this ribosomal RNA (455 nucleotides) under uncultured bacterium. RNAcentral describes it as "bacterial SSU rRNA". It matches the Rfam family "Bacterial small subunit ribosomal RNA", at positions 28 to 507 of the family's 1533-position model. The record is from RNAcentral.